GGAGACGUGACCGAGUGGCCGAAGGUGCUCCCCUGCUAAGGGAGUAGGUGCGCUAAAACGCGCCUCGAGGGUUCGAAUCCCUCCGUCUCCUCCA
This 94-nucleotide transfer RNA is filed under the name Burkholderiaceae bacterium. RNAcentral's name for it is "tRNA-Ser". It matches the Rfam family "tRNA". Rfam says of the family: Transfer RNA (tRNA) molecules are approximately 80 nucleotides in length. The record is from RNAcentral. Lineage: Bacteria; Pseudomonadati; Pseudomonadota; Betaproteobacteria; Burkholderiales; Burkholderiaceae.